CUACGGUGGCAGCAGUGGGGAAUAUUGGACAAUGGGCGAAAGCCUGAUCCAGCCAUGCCGCGUGUGUGAAGAAGGCCUUCGGGUUGUAAAGCACUUUCAGUGGGGAAGAAAGCCUUGGGGCUAAUACCCUCGAGGAAGGACAUCACCCACAGAAGAAGCACCGGCUAACUCCGUGCCAGCAGCCGCGGUAAUACGGAGGGUGCGAGCGUUAAUCGGAAUUACUGGGCGUAAAGCGCGCGUAGGCGGUCUGAUAAGCCGGUUGUGAAAGCCCCGGGCUCAACCUGGGAACGGCAUCCGGAACUGUCAGGCUAGAGUGCAGGAGAGGAAGGUAGAAUUCCCGGUGUAGCGGUGAAAUGCGUAGAGAUCGGGAGGAAUACCAGUGGCGAAGGCGGCCUUCUGGACUGACACUGACGCUGAGGUGCGAAAGCGUGGGUAGCAAACAGGAUUAGAUACCCCUGUAGUC
This 463-nucleotide ribosomal RNA is filed under the name Vreelandella stevensii. RNAcentral describes it as "partial 16S ribosomal RNA". It matches the Rfam family "Bacterial small subunit ribosomal RNA", at positions 339 to 795 of the family's 1533-position model. The record is from RNAcentral. Lineage: Bacteria; Pseudomonadati; Pseudomonadota; Gammaproteobacteria; Oceanospirillales; Halomonadaceae.